GAAUGACUCUCGGCAACGGAUAUCUCGGCUCUUGCAUCGAUGAAGAACGUAGCGAAAUGCGAUACUUGGUGUGAAUUGCAGAAUCCCGUGAACCAUCGAGUCUUUGAACGCAAGUUGCGCCCGAAGCCAUUAGGCCGAGGGCACGCCUGCCUGGGUGUCACAC
Molecule: ribosomal RNA, 163 nt
Filed under: Lespedeza cuneata (sericea lespedeza)
Lineage: Eukaryota; Viridiplantae; Streptophyta; Magnoliopsida; Fabales; Fabaceae
Also listed under: 20 other names
Description: 5.8S ribosomal RNA
Rfam family: 5.8S ribosomal RNA
About the family: 5.8S ribosomal RNA (5.8S rRNA) is a component of the large subunit of the eukaryotic ribosome. It is transcribed by RNA polymerase I as part of the 45S precursor that also contains 18S and 28S rRNA.
Source: RNAcentral